This 460-nucleotide ribosomal RNA is filed under the name uncultured bacterium. RNAcentral describes it as "partial 16S ribosomal RNA". It matches the Rfam family "Bacterial small subunit ribosomal RNA", at positions 338 to 795 of the family's 1533-position model. The record is from RNAcentral.
CCUACGGGAGGCAGCAGUGAGGAAUAUUGGUCAAUGGACGAGAGUCUGAACCAGCCAAGUAGCGUGAAGGAUGACUGCCCUAUGGGUUGUAAACUUCUUUUAUCUGGGAAUAAGUUGUUCCACGUGUGGGAUUUUGUAUGUACCAUAUGAAUAAGGAUCGGCUAACUCCGUGCCAGCCGCCGCGGUAAUACGGUGGAUCCGAGCGUUAUCCGGAUUUAUUUGGUUUAAAGGGAGCGUAGGUGGAUUGUUAAGUCAGAUGUGAAAGUUUGCGGCUCAACCGUAAAACUGCAGUUGAAACUGGCAGGCUUGAGUACAGUAGAGGUGGGCGGAAUUCGUGGUGUAGCGGUGAAAUGCGUAGAGAUCACGAAGAACUCCGAUGGCGAAGGCAGCUCACUGGACUGCAACUGACACUGAGGCUCGAAAGCGUGGGUAUCAAACAGGAUUAGAUACCCGGGUAGUC